This 483-nucleotide long non-coding RNA is filed under the name Scleropages formosus (Asian bonytongue). RNAcentral's name for it is "lncRNA (ENSSFOG00015027698.1)". The record is from RNAcentral. Lineage: Eukaryota; Metazoa; Chordata; Actinopteri; Osteoglossiformes; Osteoglossidae.
CAUUUCCCUAACAGGACCGAGGCGCUGUCCAAGGAACCCCAAUGGCUGUCACUGUGUCCUCCUAAACCUCCACUCGCGUCCCGACGACUAGAAGCAGUGGCAGAAUUUCCAGUCAAACUGGGUUGCUGCUGAGGAAACGCAGUCACCUCCUGGGAUGCAAUGCAAAACAUGAAAUAACGCACAGCACCGGGUCCCUGUGAACCCUUCCCAGAAUCCUACAUCCAUGUUCUAGAAGCUUCCAAGUGGUACGACAGCUGAUAGUGGUAGUAUGGUUAGUUCUCCUGCCUUUGAAUCCAUAGGUUGCUGUUUUGAAUCUCGCCUUGUUCUGUAAUACCCUUUAGCAAGGAUCUCAUCCUAAAUUGCUCCGAUAAAAAAAAAAUUACCCGGCUGUAUAAACAGGUAAAUAAUUGAAAGUAGCUUAACAUUGUACCUCUCUUUGGACAAAAGCGUCAGCUAAAUAAAUGUAAAUGUAGUUGAGCUUCA